Molecule: ribosomal RNA, 404 nt
Filed under: Actinomycetes bacterium
Lineage: Bacteria; Bacillati; Actinomycetota; Actinomycetes
Description: Actinobacteria bacterium partial 16S ribosomal RNA
Rfam family: Bacterial small subunit ribosomal RNA
Source: RNAcentral
UGGGGAAUAUUGGACAAUGUGCGCAAGCCUGAUCCAGCCAUGCCGCGUUAGUGCUGAAGGCCCUAGGGUUGUAAAGCUCUUUCACCGGUGAAGAUAAUGACGGUAACCGGAGAAGAAGCCCCGGCUAACUUCGUGCCAGCAGCCGCGGUAAUACGAAGGGGGCUAGCGUUGUUCGGAUUUACUGGGCGUAAAGCGCACGUAGGCGGACUUUUAAGUCAGGGGUGAAAUCCCGGGGCUCAACCCCGGAACUGCCUUUGAUACUGGAAGUCUUGAAUAUGGUAGAGGUGAGUGGAAUUCCGAGUGUAGAGGUGAAAUUCGUAGAUAUUCGGAGGAACACCAGUGGCGAAGGCGGCUCACUGGACCAUUACUGACGCUGAGGUGCGAAAGCGUGGGGAGCAAACAGG